GAUGAACGCUGGCGGCGUGCCUAAUACAUGCAAGUCGAGCGAACAGACGAGGAGCUUGCUCCUCUGACGUUAGCGGCGGACGGGUGAGUAACACGUGGAUAACCUACCUAUAAGACUGGGAUAACUUCGGGAAACCGGAGCUAAUACCGGAUAAUAUAUUGAACCGCAUGGUUCAAUAAUGAAAGACGGUUUUGCUGUGACUUAUAGAUGGAUCCGCGCCGCAUUAGCUAGUUGGUAAGGUAACGGCUUACCAAGGCGACGAUGCGUAGCCGACCUGAGAGGGUGAUCGGCCACACUGGAACUGAGACACGGUCCAGACUCCUACGGGAGGCAGCAGUAGGGAAUCUUCCGCAAUGGGCGAAAGCCUGACGGAGCAACGCCGCGUGAGUGAUGAAGGUCUUCGGAUCGUAAAACUCUGUUAUUAGGGAAGAACAAAUGUGUAAGUAACUAUGCACGUCUUGACGGUACCUAAUCAGAAAGCCACGGCUAACUACGUG
Molecule: ribosomal RNA, 497 nt
Filed under: uncultured bacterium
Lineage: Bacteria
Description: partial 16S ribosomal RNA
Rfam family: Bacterial small subunit ribosomal RNA
Source: RNAcentral